RNAcentral lists this ribosomal RNA (889 nucleotides) under Halomonas sp. SCULCB HBCM-5. RNAcentral's name for it is "bacterial SSU rRNA". It matches the Rfam family "Bacterial small subunit ribosomal RNA", at positions 64 to 950 of the family's 1533-position model. Lineage: Bacteria; Pseudomonadati; Pseudomonadota; Gammaproteobacteria; Oceanospirillales; Halomonadaceae. The record is from RNAcentral.
GAGCGGUAACAGAUCUAGCUUGCUAGAUGCUGACGAGCGGCGGACGGGUGAGUAAUGCAUAGGAAUCUGCCCGAUAGUGGGGGAUAACCUGGGGAAACCCAGGCUAAUACCGCAUACGUCCUACGGGAGAAAGGGGGCUUCGGCUCCCGCUAUUGGAUGAGCCUAUGUCGGAUUAGCUAGUUGGUGAGGUAAAGGCUCACCAAGGCAACGAUCCGUAGCUGGUCUGAGAGGAUGAUCAGCCACAUCGGGACUGAGACACGGCCCGAACUCCUACGGGAGGCAGCAGUGGGGAAUAUUGGACAAUGGGGGCAACCCUGAUCCAGCCAUGCCGCGUGUGUGAAGAAGGCCCUCGGGUUGUAAAGCACUUUCAGCGAGGAAGAACGCCUGGCGGUUAAUACCCGCCAGGAAAGACAUCACUCGCAGAAGAAGCACCGGCUAACUCCGUGCCAGCAGCCGCGGUAAUACGGAGGGUGCAAGCGUUAAUCGGAAUUACUGGGCGUAAAGCGCGCGUAGGUGGCCUGAUAAGCCGGUUGUGAAAGCCCCGGGCUCAACCUGGGAACGGCAUCCGGAACUGUCAGGCUAGAGUGCAGGAGAGGAAGGUAGAAUUCCCGGUGUAGCGGUGAAAUGCGUAGAGAUCGGGAGGAAUACCAGUGGCGAAGGCGGCCUUCUGGACUGACACUGACACUGAGGUGCGAAAGCGUGGGUAGCAAACAGGAUUAGAUACCCUGGUAGUCCACGCCGUAAACGAUGUCGACCAGCCGUUGGGUGCCUAGAGCACUUUGUGGCGAAGUUAACGCGAUAAGUCGACCGCCUGGGGAGUACGGCCGCAAGGUUAAAACUCAAAUGAAUUGACGGGGGCCCGCACAAGCGGUGGAGCAUGUGGUUUAAU